GCCCCAUUAACUCAGUUGGUAGAGUGAUGGACUCUUAAUCCAUUCGCCACGGGUUCGAGCCCCGUAUGGGGCU
RNAcentral lists this transfer RNA (73 nucleotides) under Bigelowiella natans CCMP2755. Its description in RNAcentral is "tRNA-Lys for anticodon CUU". It matches the Rfam family "tRNA". Rfam says of the family: Transfer RNA (tRNA) molecules are approximately 80 nucleotides in length. The record is from RNAcentral. Lineage: Eukaryota; Cercozoa; Chlorarachniophyceae.